AUUAUUAUUCAGUGGUAGUAGUGUAGCUAAUGAGGUUAAUCUGAGGCAAAAUUAUUGCUAAUUGAAAACUUUCCCCAGGCUUUUCUUUCCAAUAUUUAAUUUAAUUCCCCAGAAU
Molecule: non-coding RNA, 115 nt
Organism: Zootoca vivipara (common lizard)
Lineage: Eukaryota; Metazoa; Chordata; Lepidosauria; Squamata; Lacertidae
Source: RefSeq, a predicted model, not a curated record